Molecule: long non-coding RNA, 1014 nt
Filed under: Anas platyrhynchos platyrhynchos (common mallard)
Lineage: Eukaryota; Metazoa; Chordata; Aves; Anseriformes; Anatidae
Description: lncRNA (ENSAPLG00000024684.1)
Source: RNAcentral
AUGUUCUUUUUUAUCUCAUCCCUCCUCAGCGAAUCCAUGUAUCCAACACAAAGGUAUUUCUCUCACACUGGUCUCACAUGGGAACCAUUCUCUUUAUUUGCCUUUGCUGCACAGAGGCCGGGAGGGAGGCUGAUCCUUCCCUGGGUUACCGUGAUACACAGCCUCACCUGCAGUGCCCUUUAUUCCAGCAUCCAUCCCCAAUCUGGCUUGGGGGCCUGCUCCUGCCUUGAAGUCACAGUCAGGCUGCAAAGUCAGAAGUUUGGAUUAAGCAAUGCCUCGCUUCCUGCCAGGGAGAGGCUAACAACCAGGCUGCGGAGGCAGUCGGGGACACAGCAGGCAUGCCCUGGCAGCGGUGGCUGGCCCCAUCUCCCACCCCCAGCCCAUCAUUCUCGAGGAGCCUGCCCUGGAUGUAGGCAGCCUGGCCCACACCCUGCUGUCUUCCCCUGCAGCCCGGCCUUGGCUUUUUUGGCUUUACCUGCUGGUAAAAUGAGAAAUUACCUCUGUCUCUGGUGCCCCAGCCCCAGUGUGAGCUGCACAGCUCCUGCAAGCACAAAGAAGCAAGAAACGCAGCGCGGCCCAAGCUGCAAUGUGGGCUGUGCUGGGCCCUGGCAGAUCCUUCUGCUGCCCCCCUCCCCCGAUGGGGAUGGAAGCUCUUCUUCCCUGUUUUUUCAUUUUCAGGCAUCUCCAUGUCUCCUUCCAACUCCUCCCACACACAGCGGAGGAACUGCCCACAAACAUGUGCAAAACUACUUAAUUACUCCCGAACCAGCUGCGCUGCCGCUUGCUGCGGGUGCUGAUGGCUGUGCUGACCAUGCCAACUUUGCCCCCUCUCUUCUGCCCAUCUGUGCCCAUCACCUGCCCGGCCUGCAGGCUCUGGAUGCUCCACAUCCUGCAGUGGUGCGUGCGUGGCACCUGGGGUGGUGGCAAACACAGCCCUGUGUGUGGCGGGCUGAGGGGUUCAGCCCUUGCUUGCCCGCUGCUGGAUGCCUUGGGUUUCAUUGCUGGGUAUUGUAG